This 86-nucleotide microRNA precursor is filed under the name Solanum tuberosum (potato). RNAcentral's name for it is "MIR8024 microRNA precursor family". It matches the Rfam family "MIR8024 microRNA precursor family". Lineage: Eukaryota; Viridiplantae; Streptophyta; Magnoliopsida; Solanales; Solanaceae. The record is from Rfam by way of RNAcentral.
UUGAAGAAUUUGAAGACUUCAACUUGCAUACCUGCAGGAUUUAAAAACUUCUACAUACAUACUUCAAGAAUUUGAAAACUUCAACU